GCGCACCAGUCGCGAAACUUUACAAUGUGCGAAAGCACGAUAAGGGAACUCUGAGUGCCUCCUAAGGAGGCUGUUCAGGUGUCUAAAAGCACCUGAAGGAAGGGCUGGGUAAGACCGGUGCCAGCCGCCGCGGUAACACCGGCAGCCCAAGUGGUAGCCACGUUUAUUGGGUCUAAAGCGUCCGUAGCCGGCUGGGUAAGUUCCUUGGGAAAUUUGGCUGCUUAACAGUCAAGCUUUCAGGGAAUACUGCCCGGCUUGGGACCGGGAGAGGUCAGAGGUACUCCAGGGGUAGGGUGAAAUCCAUUAAUCCUUGGGGGACCACCGGUAGCGAAGGCGUCUGACCAGACCGGGUCCGACGGUGAGGGACGAAGGCUAGGGGCGCGAACCGGAUUAGAUACCCCUGUAGU
RNAcentral lists this ribosomal RNA (407 nucleotides) under uncultured microorganism. RNAcentral describes it as "bacterial SSU rRNA". It matches the Rfam family "Archaeal small subunit ribosomal RNA", at positions 330 to 745 of the family's 1478-position model. The record is from RNAcentral.